This 366-nucleotide ribosomal RNA is filed under the name uncultured bacterium. RNAcentral's name for it is "partial 16S ribosomal RNA". It matches the Rfam family "Bacterial small subunit ribosomal RNA", at positions 338 to 696 of the family's 1533-position model. The record is from RNAcentral.
CCUACGGGAGGCAGCAGUAGGGAAUCUUCCACAAUGGACGAAAGUCUGAUGGAGCAACGCCGCGUGAGUGAAGAAGGCUUUCUGCUCGUAAAGCUCUGUUUGUAGUGAAGAAAGAUAGAGGUAGUAACUGGCCUUUAUUUGACGGUAAUUACUUAGAAAGUCACGGCUAACUACGUGCCAGCCGCCGCGGUAAUACGUAGGUGGCAAGCGUUGUCCGGAUUUAUUGGGCGUAAAGGGAGUGCAGGCGGUUCAAUAAGUCUGAUGUGAAAGCCUUCGGCUCAACCGGAGAAUUGCAUCAGAAACUGUUUAACUUGAGUGCAGAAGAGGAGAGCGGAACGCGAGGUGUAGCGGUGGAAUGCGUAGAUA